Molecule: ribosomal RNA, 460 nt
Filed under: uncultured bacterium
Lineage: Bacteria
Description: partial 16S ribosomal RNA
Rfam family: Bacterial small subunit ribosomal RNA
Source: RNAcentral
CCUACGGGGGGCAGCAGUGAGGAAUAUUGGUCAAUGGGCGCGAGCCUGAACCAGCCAAGUCGCGUGAGGGAAGACGGCCCUACGGGUUGUAAACCUCUUUUGCCGGGGAGCAACGGGCGCCACGUGUGGCGCCACUGAGAGUACCCGGAGAAAAAGCAUCGGCUAACUCCGUGCCAGCAGCCGCGGUAAUACGGAGGAUGCGAGCGUUAUCCGGAUUUAUUGGGUUUAAAGGGUGCGUAGGCGGAGCGUUAAGUCAGUGGUCAAAUUGAGGGGCUCAACCCCUUCCCGCCAUUGAAACUGGCGCUCUUGAGUGGAAGAGAAGUAUGCGGAAUGCGUGGUGUAGCGGUGAAAUGCGUAGAUAUAUGGAGGAACACCAGUGGCGAAGGCGACGAUCUGGCCUGCAACUGACGCUCAGUCCCGAAAGCGUGGGGAGCAAAUAGGAUUAGAUACCCUUGUAGUC